RNAcentral lists this ribosomal RNA (592 nucleotides) under uncultured bacterium. Its description in RNAcentral is "bacterial SSU rRNA". It matches the Rfam family "Bacterial small subunit ribosomal RNA", at positions 61 to 646 of the family's 1533-position model. The record is from RNAcentral.
GUCGUGCGCGAAGGGUCCUUCGGGGCCUGAGUAGAGCGGCGAACUGGUGAGUACAAGGUGAAUAACGUGCCCUUGAGUGGGGGAUAACCCCGCGAAAGCGGGGCUAAUACCGCAUGGUUUCCUGGGAUCUUCGGGUUUUGGGAAUAAAGCAGUGAUGCGCUUAAGGAGCGGUUCACCUCCCAUUAGCUAGUUGGUAGGGUAAUGGCCUACCAAGGCUUCGAUGGGUAGCUGGUCUGAGAGGAUGGUCAGCCACACUGGGACUGAGAUACGGCCCAGACUCCUACGGGGGGCAGCAGUCUAGAGGCUUUGACAAUGCCCGAAAGGGUGAUCAAGCGACGCCGCGUGCGGGAUGAAGGGCUUCGGCUUGUAAACCGCUUUUCUUUGGGGCGAAGGCCCGUGUCGUGAACAUGGGAUUGACGGUACCAGAGGAAUAAGCCCCGGCUAACUCCGUGCCAGCAGCCGCGGUAAGACGGAGGGGGCGAGCGUUGUUCGGAAUUAUUGGGCGUAAAGGGCUCGUAGGCGGACGGGUAAGUCUGGCGUGAAAUCUCCACCGCUCACCGGGGAGAGGCCGCUGGAUACUGCCUGUCUGGAG